This 1460-nucleotide ribosomal RNA is filed under the name uncultured organism. RNAcentral describes it as "SSU rRNA". It matches the Rfam family "Bacterial small subunit ribosomal RNA". The record is from RNAcentral.
CAGAUUGAACGCUGGCGGCAGGCCUAACACAUGCAAGUCGAGCGGUAGCACAGAGAGCUUGCUCUCGGGUGACGAGCGGCGGACGGGUGAGUAAUGUCUGGGAAACUGCCUGAUGGAGGGGGAUAACUACUGGAAACGGUAACUAAUACCGCAUAAUGUCGCAAGACCAAAGUGGGGGACCUUCGGGCCUCAUGCCAUCAGAUGUGCCCAGAUGGGAUUAGCUAGUAGGUGGGGUAACGGCUCACCUAGGCGACGAUCCCUAGCUGGUCUGAGAGGAUGACCAGCCACACUGGAACUGAGACACGGUCCAGACUCCUACGGGAGGCAGCAGUGGGGAAUAUUGCACAAUGGGCGCAAGCCUGAUGCAGCCAUGCCGCGUGUGUGAAGAAGGCCUUCGGGUUGUAAAGCACUUUCAGCGGGGAGGAAGGCGGUGAGGUUAAUAACCUCAUAGAUUGACGUUACCCGCAGAAGAAGCACCGGCUAACUCCGUGCCAGCAGCCGCGGUAAUACGGAGGGUGCAAGCGUUAAUCGGAAUUACUGGGCGUAAAGCGCACGCAGGCGGUCUGUCAAGUCGGAUGUGAAAUCCCCGGGCUUAACCUGGGAACUGCAUUCGAAACUGGCAGGCUAGAGUCUUGUAGAGGGGGGUAGAAUUCCAGGUGUAGCGGUGAAAUGCGUAGAGAUCUGGAGGAAUACCGGUGGCGAAGGCGGCCCCCUGGACAAAGACUGACGCUCAGGUGCGAAAGCGUGGGGAGCAAACAGGAUUAGAUACCCUGGUAGUCCACGCCGUAAACGAUGUCGAUUUGGAGGUUGUGCCCUUGAGGCGUGGCUUCCGGAGCUAACGCGUUAAAUCGACCGCCUGGGGAGUACGGCCGCAAGGUUAAAACUCAAAUGAAUUGACGGGGGCCCGCACAAGCGGUGGAGCAUGUGGUUUAAUUCGAUGCAACGCGAAGAACCUUACCUGGUCUUGACAUCCACAGAACUUUCCAGAGAUGGAUUGGUGCCUUCGGGAACUGUGAGACAGGUGCUGCAUGGCUGUCGUCAGCUCGUGUUGUGAAAUGUUGGGUUAAGUCCCGCAACGAGCGCAACCCUUAUCCUUUGUUGCCAGCGGUCCGGCCGGGAACUCAAAGGAGACUGCCAGUGAUAAACUGGAGGAAGGUGGGGAUGACGUCAAGUCAUCAUGGCCCUUACGACCAGGGCUACACACGUGCUACAAUGGCAUAUACAAAGAGAAGCGACCUCGCGAGAGCAAGCGGACCUCAUAAAGUAUGUCGUAGUCCGGAUUGGAGUCUGCAACUCGACUCCAUGAAGUCGGAAUCGCUAGUAAUCGUAGAUCAGAAUGCUACGGUGAAUACGUUCCCGGGCCUUGUACACACCGCCCGUCACACCAUGGGAGUGGGUUGCAAAAGAAGUAGGUAGCUUAACCUUCGGGAGGGCGCUUACCACUUUGUGAUUCAUGACUG